RNAcentral lists this non-coding RNA (197 nucleotides) under Clostridium magnum. Its description in RNAcentral is "T-box sequence". It matches the Rfam family "T-box leader". Rfam says of the family: Uncharged tRNA acts as the effector for transcription antitermination of genes in the T-box leader family. T-boxes are found upstream of many aminoacyl-tRNA synthetase genes and some amino acid biosynthetic genes usually in Gram-positive bacteria. The anticodon of a specific tRNA base pairs to a specifier sequence within the T-box motif, and the NCCA acceptor tail of the tRNA base pairs to a conserved bulge in the T-box antiterminator hairpin. Lineage: Bacteria; Bacillati; Bacillota; Clostridia; Eubacteriales; Clostridiaceae. The record is from RNAcentral.
AUAAAAACAAUGAUAGGGAAGAGUAAAUGGAGAAAGGUUUUAAAGAGAGUGAGAUUAGGUGAAAGCUCACAAACUGGAAUCUAUUGAAAAUCACCCUUAAGUUGCAGGCUGAAUUAAUUAAGCUGUGCCGGCGUAAGUCGUUAUUUGAUUGAGUAAAAUAUUUGGGUGGUACCGCGACUAAACUUCUCGCCCCAGUG